AACGGGGGGGGCAAGUGUUCUUCGGAAUCACUGGGCGUAAAGGGCGUGUAGGCGGGACGGUAAGUCGGGCGUGAAAUCCCUAGGCUCAACCUAGGAACUGCACUCGAAACUACCAUUCUUGAGUGUCGGAGAGGAAAGCGGAAUUCCUGGUGUAGAGGUGAAAUUCGUAGAUAUCAGGAGGAACACCAGUGGCGAAGGCGGCUUUCUGGACGAUAACUGACGCUGAGACGCGAAAGCGUGGGGAGCAAACAGG
This 253-nucleotide ribosomal RNA is filed under the name uncultured bacterium. RNAcentral describes it as "partial 16S ribosomal RNA". It matches the Rfam family "Bacterial small subunit ribosomal RNA", at positions 524 to 776 of the family's 1533-position model. The record is from RNAcentral.